CUACGGGCGGCUGCAGUGGGGAAUAUUGCACAAUGGAGGAAACUCUGAUGCAGCAACGCCGCGUGGAGGAUGACACUUUUCGGAGCGUAAACUCCUUUUAUAUAGGAAGAAGAUGACGGUACUAUAUGAAUAAGCGCCGGCUAACUCCGUGCCAGCAGCCGCGGUAAUACGAAGGGCGCAAGCGUUACUCGGAAUCACUGGGCGUAAAGAGCGUGUAGGCGGAUUAAAAAGUCAGAAGUGAAAUCCUAUAGCUUAACUAUAGAACUGCUUCUGAAACUCUUAAUCUAGAAUAUGGGAGAGGUACAUGGAAUUUCUGGUGUAGGGGUAAAAUCCGUAGAGAUCAGAAGGAAUACCGAUUGCGAAGGCGAUCUACUAGAACAUUAUUGACGCUGAGACGCGAAAGCGUGGGGAGCAAACAGGAUUAGAUACCCCUGUAGUC
Molecule: ribosomal RNA, 439 nt
Filed under: uncultured bacterium
Lineage: Bacteria
Description: partial 16S ribosomal RNA
Rfam family: Bacterial small subunit ribosomal RNA
Source: RNAcentral